GUCGGCCUACGGGGCGCAGCAGUGAGGAAUAUUGGUCAAUGGGCGGGAGCCUGAACCAGCCAAGUCGCGUGAGGGAAGACGGUCCUAUGGAUUGUAAACCUCUUUAGGCGGGGAGCAAUGCCGGGCACGCGUGUCCGGAGGGAGAGUACCCGCAGAAUAAGCAUCGGCUAACUCCGUGCCAGCAGCCGCGGUAAUACGGAGGAUGCGAGCGUUAUCCGGCGUUAUUGGGUUUAAAGGGUGCGUAGGCGGAUUUUUAAGUCAGCGGUAAAAUGCCCGGGCUCAACCCGGGGCGGCCGUUGAAACUG
This 305-nucleotide ribosomal RNA is filed under the name uncultured bacterium. RNAcentral describes it as "bacterial SSU rRNA". It matches the Rfam family "Bacterial small subunit ribosomal RNA", at positions 333 to 635 of the family's 1533-position model. The record is from RNAcentral.